AGGGUGUAAACGCUGCAGACUUGGUGUUGGGGACCCUUCGGGGGUGUUCAGUGCCGGAGAGAAGUUGUUAAGUCUGCUACUUGGGGAGUACGUCCGCAAGGAUGAAACUUAAAGGAAUUGGCGGGGGGAGCACCGCAACGGGAGGAACGUGCGGUUUAAUUGGAUUCAACACCGGAAACUCACCAGCAGCGACUGUUACAUGAAAGUCAGGCCGAUGACCUUACUAGAUUUUCAGAGAGGAGGUGCAUGGCGUCAGUGACU
Molecule: ribosomal RNA, 261 nt
Filed under: uncultured archaeon
Lineage: Archaea
Description: partial 16S ribosomal RNA
Rfam family: Archaeal small subunit ribosomal RNA
Source: RNAcentral